UACGAAGGGGGCUAGCGUUGUUCGGAAUUACUGGGCGUAAAGCGCACGUAGGCGGAUAUUUAAGUCAGGGGUGAAAUCCCAGAGCUCAACUCUGGAACUGCCUUUGAUACUGGGUAUCUUGAGUAUGGAAGAGGUAAGUGGAAUUGCGAGUGUAGAGGUGAAAUUCGUAGAUAUUCGCAGGAACACCAGUGGCGAAGGCGGCUUACUGGUCCAUUGCUGACGCUGAGGUGCGAAAGCGUGGGGAGCAAACAGG
Molecule: ribosomal RNA, 253 nt
Filed under: uncultured bacterium
Lineage: Bacteria
Description: partial 16S ribosomal RNA
Rfam family: Bacterial small subunit ribosomal RNA
Source: RNAcentral